This 962-nucleotide small RNA is filed under the name Pan troglodytes (chimpanzee). RNAcentral describes it as "retained intron". Lineage: Eukaryota; Metazoa; Chordata; Mammalia; Primates; Hominidae. The record is from RNAcentral.
CUUCUACUUGUCCACAAUUUGCCCCAGAAUCUUACUGGCUACAUCUGGUACAAAGGGCAAAUGAGGGACCUCUACCAUUACAUUACAUCAUAUGUAGUAGACGGUCAAAUAAUUAUAUAUGGGCCUGCAUAUAGUGGACGAGAAACAGUAUAUUCCAAUGCAUCCCUGCUGAUCCAGAAUGUCACCUGGGAGGACGCAGGAUCCUACACCUUACACAUCAUAAAGGGAGGUGAUGAGACUAGAGGAGUAACUGGACGUUUCACCUUCACCUUAUACCUGGAGACUCCCAAGCCCUCCAUCUCCAGCAGCAACUUAAAUCCCAGAGAGACCAUGGAGGCUGUGAGCUUAACCUGUGACCCUGAGACUCCAGACGCAAGCUACCUGUGGUGGAUGAAUGGUCAGAGCCUCCCUAUGACUCACAGCUUGAAGCUCUCCGAAACCAACAGGACCCUCUUUCUAUUGGGUGUCACAAAGUAUACUGCAGGACCCUAUGAAUGUGAAAUACAGAACCCAGUGAGUGCCAGCCGCAGUGACCCAGUCACCCUGAAUCUCCUCCAUGGUCCAGACCUCCCCAGAAUUUACCCUUCAUUCACCUAUUACCGUUCAGGAGAAAUCCUCUACUUGUCCUGUUCUGCAGACUCUAACCCACCGGCACAGUAUUCUUGGACAAUUAAUGAGAAGUUUCAUCUACCAGGACAAAAGCUCUUUAUCCGCCAUAUUACUACAAAGCAUAGCGGGCUCUAUGUUUGCUCUGUUCAUAACUCAGCCACUGGCAAGGAAAGCUCCAAAUACAUGACAGUCGAAGUCUCUGGUAAUUGGAUCCCAGCAUCCUUGGCAAUAGGGUUUUAGGUGGAGUCUAUCUGGCAUUCAGAGAAGAGUCAGGAAAACAUUUGUAUUCCCAGCCUGUGUCCCAUGGGCACAAGCAAAUCCCAAAUUCUCCUCCUGAACCCUCCAAAUUUGUC